UUUAUUAUUCCUAUUUCUUUUAUUUAUUUUAUAUACCAAUGCCCUAGCCCCUUUCACUCUCACGACAUUCACAAACUGUCUCUCUCGCUCUCUUGCUUGCCAUAGUCGUAGCUCCAGUGGUAUGAAUCUCUGUCUCUCGGUCUCUCACUUUCUUUAUCAUGCUCUGUUUCUUUGAUCUUCAAUUUCAUUUUCCGACUCAAAAUUUGAUUUUCUAAGUUGAAUUUUCUCGAGAAAGAUGCAGCCUCUAUGAGAUUUGAUCGACGAUGAAACAGAAAUUGUUGAGUGAAAUUAGGUUAAUUGUUUGAUCGAGCAAAGAGAAAAAAACAGAGAGAUGAGAAGCACGAACAACAUCGCUCUAGAUACGAUAAGUGCUGCUGUGACUGCGAUUGCGUCAGCUGGGACUCAAGCUUCAGUUCAGGUAAACAAUUUGAUUCGAAUGUUAACUAUAAUUUACGUUGCUUGUUGUGGUUGAUGAUUUGAUUAUCUCAAUUAGAUACAUGAAUCUCUCGAGUUUCGAUUUCUAAUUCAAAGCUCUGUAUAAUCUGAACAUUUAGGUUCAAGGUCUGCUGAUUAUAUAUAGGUUACGUUGAUCAUUUCACUUUGUUUGAUGUAGUUUUUGGAAAUUAUAUUUGUUUAAUGCUUUUUAAUUUUUUUUAUUUAUUUGUUGUUGUUGUUGUUGCUGCUGCAAGUCAUCCUCAUCAUCUUGAAAUCGAGAAGGCAAAGAAGUUGCUGAAUGAAUUGCACCUGAAGAUGGUGGAGAGGGCUAUGCAACAUACAUCUGCAAUUUCAUCAUCUUCGGUUUCUUGCAGUGAUACUGAUAAGGGACGAAAUUUGGUGGUUAUGGUUCAUUUCUACCCACCUAUCAACGCUCUCCUGUUUGGUCUCGUCCAAUAUCUCCACCAAAAAAUCAUAACUACAGCACGCCCAAAUCCUCAAACAUUUUGCACCUGGAGGGUAGCUGUCAUAACUCUGUAGUUCCAUCUAGUGCAUCUCUGUCAGCGAGACAUGGGCUGUCUUCUACAAAUGCCGCAUUGCUCCAUUCGCUGAGGUCUUCCAAUAAUGAUUUAUCAAAAAGAGACAUAGGCAUGUCAUCAGCACAUUGUGCUGAGGAAUCCAGUUCAAGAUGUGAACUUGCGAAAAACUGUGCUCAACCUUCUGACCAAAAAACACUGAAGGUUCAAAUCAAAGUGGGUUCUGAUAAUUUGUCGAUGCAAAAAAUGCUGAAAUCUACACUGGUCUUGGCCUUGAUAUCUCGCCCUCUUCCUCGUUGAAUGAAAGCCCCACCGGCAGUGAAGGGUUUUCACAUGAACCUUUGGAUGCCCCAGAAGAAUCCCCAACUAGUAUUCUUCAGAUUAUGAAAUCAUUUCCAGUGCAUGGCAAUCUAUUGUUAUACCCUCGUCCGGAUGAUCUGAUUUACAUGAUUGAAAAGGAAAAGCUUAAAGGAGACAUUAAACCUAGACGUGUGAUCAAGAGUAGCCAAGAAAGUUCAAAUGGAUCUGAUUUUGCUAGGGGCAAUGACAAAGUUUUAGGAGGAAAGAAACUUAAGUCAUUUGAGAGAAAUGCCUUUUCAGUGGAAUUGAAGAAUCACAUUGAUAAGGGCACUCAAAACGGCAUUGGUGUUCCGUUGAAGAAAGAAACAGACAUUGACAAAUACUCUGAAGCUUCCACUUCUAUCUAAUUCAUAUUCUGAUGUUGCCAACCGUGACAAGGGUACUGCAAGAGCGGCUAAUAACUCUAUGGUAGCUAAUAAGGUGAAAGAAUAAUCUUUCUUUGAUCUAGCUAAAGUGGAAACCUUGGAGAGAUUACUAAACCAAGAGAUUGGCUUGGCUGAGAAGCCUAAUGGAAAGGCGGUGUUCAAUGUUAAGGUUUGGGAAGAGAAGAGCACAUAUGCCAAUAAUUAUCUGUCUAAAGGUGAAGUGGAGGAUUCCAAAUUGCAGAAGUAUCUAUUCAUCUUUCUGGACAAAAUCUGUGUGAAAUCUUAUCCCACAACAUUGUUGGUUAUACCAUAUAUCAGCAAAAAUAAAGGAUAUUCUGAUAUUAUUUUUUACAUCUUAUGUGAACUGUAUAUUUUCUCUCUUGCUGUAUAGAAAUAGGAAAUAAAUAAUGUAUAUAAAGCCUUAUUGUGUA
Molecule: non-coding RNA, 2127 nt
Organism: Camellia sinensis
Lineage: Eukaryota; Viridiplantae; Streptophyta; Magnoliopsida; Ericales; Theaceae
Source: RefSeq, a predicted model, not a curated record